Molecule: ribosomal RNA, 1947 nt
Filed under: human gut metagenome
Description: bacterial LSU rRNA
Rfam family: Bacterial large subunit ribosomal RNA
Source: RNAcentral
UUAAGUGACUAAGCGUACAAGGUGGAUGCCUUGGCAAUCAGAGGCGAUGAAGGACGUGCUAAUCUGCGAAAAGCUUGGAUGAGUCGAUAAGAGGCGUUUAAUCCAAGAUGUCCGAAUGGGGAAACCCAGUAGAUGAAGAAUCUACUAUCACUUACUGAAUCCAUAGGUAAGUGAGGCAAACCGGGAGAACUGAAACAUCUAAGUACCCCGAGGAAAAGAAAUCAACCGAGAUUUCGUUAGUAGCGGCGAGCGAACGCGAAGGAGCCUGUUAGUGAUAAUGACAGAGACAGAGGAACAAGCUGGGAAGUUUGGCGAUACAGGGUGAUAGCCCCGUACUCGAAGUCCAGGUCAUGGUACUAAGCUAACGAUAAGUAGGGCGGGACACGUGAUAUCCUGUUUGAAGAUGGGGGGACCAUCCUCCAAGGCUAAAUACUCCUGAUUGACCGAUAGUGAACCAGUACUGUGAAGGAAAGGCGAAAAGAACCCCGGUGAGGGGAGUGAAAUAGAACCUGAAACCUUGUACGUACAAGCAGUGGGAGCCCUUUUGGGGUGACUGCGUACCUUUUGUAUAAUGGGUCAGCGACUUAUAUUUUGUAGCGAGGUUAACCGAAUAGGGGAGCCGAAGGGAAACCGAGUCUUAACUGGGCGUCUAGUUGCAAGGUAUAGACCCGAAACCCGGUGAUCUAGCCAUGGGCAGGUUGAAGGUUGGGUAACACUAACUGGAGGACCGAACCGACUAAUGUUGAAAAAUUAGCGGAUGACUUGUGGCUGGGGGUGAAAGGCCAAUCAAACCGGGAGAUAGCUGGUUCUCCCCGAAAUCUAUUUAGGUAGAGCCUUGAGCGGACACCUUCGGGGGUAGAGCACUGUUUCGGCUAGGGGUCCAUCCCGGAUUACCAACCCGAUGCAAACUACGAAUACCGAAGAGUGAUACUCAGGAGACACACGGCGGGUGCUAACGUCCGUCGUGGAGAGGGAAACAACCCAGACCGCCAGCUAAGGUCCCAAAGUCUAUAUUAAGUGGGAAACGAAGUGGGAAGGCUUAGACAGCUAGGAUGUUGGCUUAGAAGCAGCCAUCAUUUAAAGAAAGCGUAAUAGCUCACUAGUCGAGUCGGCCUGCGCGGAAGAUGUAACGGGGCUCAAAUAUAGCACCGAAGCUGCGGCAUCAGUAGCAAUACUGUUGGGUAGGGGAGCGUUCUGUAAGCGGAUGAAGGUGAAUCGAGAGGUUUGCUGGACGUAUCAGAAGUGCGAAUGCUGACAUAAGUAACGAUAAAACGGGUGAAAAACCCGUUCGCCGGAAGACCAAGGGUUCCUGUCCAACGUUAAUCGGGGCAGGGUGAGUCGGCCCCUAAGGCGAGGCUGAAAAGCGUAGUCGAUGGGAAACGGGUUAAUAUUCCCGUACUUGGAUAAACUGCGAUGUGGGGACGGAGCAGGUUAGGUUAUCGCACUGUUGGAUAUGUGCGUUUAAGUUGGUAGGUGAGAGGUUUAGGCAAAUCCGGACUUCUAUAACACCGAGAGAUGAUGACGAGGCUCUACGGAGCUGAAGUAACCGAUACCACACUUCCAGGAAAAGCCACUAAGCUUCAGGUUUAUCUAAACCGUACUGAAAACCGACACAGGUGGUCAGGUAGAGAAUACUCAGGCGCUUGAGAGAACUCGGGUGAAGGAACUAGGCAAAAUAGCACCGUAACUUCGGGAGAAGGUGCGCCGGCGUAGAUUGUAGUCCCUUGCGGAUGAAGGUUGAACCGGUCGAAGAUACCAGCUGGCUGCAACUGUUUAUUAAAAACACAGCACUCUGCAAACACGAAAGUGGACGUAUAGGGUGUGAUGCCUGCCCGGUGCUGGAAGGUUAAUUGAUGGUGUAAUCGAAAGAGAAGCUCCUGAUCGAAGCCCCAGUAAACGGCGGCCGUAACUAUAACGGUCCUAAGGUAGCGAAAUUCCUUGUCGGGU